UUGUAAUUAAUUCUUUAUUAAGUAUUUUUAUUAAUAAGUAUUGUUAUUUGGGCCAUGCAUAACAACACUGUAACAAUUGUAUCUAUCACAGCAUUACAAUAGAAACUAUCUGAAACCUUGAAUUUUUGCAUUUUGUGAACAGUGUUUACUGCUACUCCAGUCUUACUUCAGAUUCGAACCAGUUCUCCCUGAUAAGUCAGGCUGAUAAAGCAAUCCACCUCCAAAAACAGUCAGGCAAGAUUUUGGCACAAACUACAGUCUUAGCUGUAAGUUACAUUACACCAGGGUAUGUCACCAGUGAAGACACAAUACCAAAAUUUGUGCUGCAAACUUGAAUUAUACCUGGGAAGGGAAUAAAGUAAUUAAUCAUCCAGCAAUUAUUUAGAAGCAAGACAGUAAAUAACAGAUGUAAUUAUGGUUUAUAAUCUUAUUUCUUGUUAUUACUGGAAAAAGAUAUAAGAAUAUGUUCUCUUCCUAUACAGAAUCAGUCAUGCUUAUAGUAAGAGCAUCAUUUAAAACCAGAAACACACUGGAUUGCCAAUGCAUAAAAUAAAAACAGUCUAUUGUGUGGACAGGCUAUGCUAGGUGACCGAUCUGUGACAGUUCAAGAAGCUGUCAUUCUUUGCUAUCCAUUCUGCCCAUUUAUUCUGGACAAAUGCCACAGAAACAGAAUGGAGUGUGUGCUCAAGCCUCAGCUAUUCCAUUUUCAUCUAAACACCAGACUUCCCACUAAAACAGUUCACAGGGAAAACCAGUAUGUGUCUGCCAACACCACUGCAACAAUGGCAACGUGUAGCAGAGAAGUAUAAACAGUCACAUAAACAGUCUGAAGCUGCUACCACUGUGGUAGUUCUUCCAUGAACCGUCAUCCCUGUGAACACAAAUGGAGACUCUGCCUUUCAGAAGGCACGUUAAGAAGUGCCACAAAAUGUGUAAGAGGUAACGGCCUUUGCAUUUCCAACAAUGUGUAAGGUAAGGGCAAACCUUCACUCUUGAAUCAAAACUCGGACCCACCCCUGCCAGACUGACAUCCUAUCUAAUAAAACGCAUACAUCUACUCCAAUGCACAAGUGCAUUAGAAUCUAGUGUAAAAACACAUUAUUGUUUUAGGAGAGUGCCUAUUAAACUGAGCCAUUAUAAAAGUUAUGAAUAACUCCUUCUUUGCACACACUAACAGCUGUAGAAGAUAUAAGAAGAACAUACAUGCAUAUUUACUCAUGAUGAAAACAUGGGUUUGUACUACUAAGUCACAAUUCUUUUUAAAGGGAUGAAGUACAUUUCUAGUCUUGCCUGUAGUAUGAAAAUAGUGUUCCAGGAUUAAUACAGGUUCAUAUGAAAACUAAGGGGAAAUUUAAGUAAAAAUUAUUUAUGUAAGGUACUGAAGUACAAAUCCUCAAGGACGAAAAUUCCUCUACAAUUCCAAUGCAGAGGGCUCCUCUUCAACAGGGUAUUAAAUAAACUUUCUUAUUUACUGUAUGUAAUUCAUGGAACGCCAGGAAUGAUAAUUUUCACUAGAGAGAGAGAGACUUCUAAAGGGACAAGAAUGUAAAUGUUUCGCUAUACCCUUACAUCUCAAACCUGCGUGAAUAUUAAUAUAAAUUUAAGCCUUUAAACAAAAAUAUAGUAGCAUAUCCAAGGAAUCAAAAACCUUUCCCUAGUAUCAGAAUCAGGAUGAUAUGGACAGGCAUCACCAAACAAUGCCGCAUUUGAAACAGCAGAUCCUGGUGAAAAUCCAUCUCCUGAUUGAGAAUCAUUGAUAACUUACUUUCUUUAAUCCUUCUACCAAAGGCACACUUCCCCUCCAAAGUACAGUUUGAUUUGUAACAGUAAACAUUCACAAAGUUCUCAUCAGUUAAAAACCUGUGGUAACUUAGAAGUGUUAUUCUUCAUGCUCUUAAAGCCCUUGCACAUGCAGCAGAAAAUGUAUGCCACAACUGGGUCACAUCAAGUAAAAAUAAUUUGGGAAAAAAAUUUUUCAUUGCAAAACAUGUCAGUUCUGUAAACAACAGGGUACAACUUCAUUUCUCUGUUAGAUCUUAUUCUAAGCAGAGGCAAGAGGCAAUGAGAAUUGGUAGAUGACAGGAGAUGAAGAAGUGUAAAUCCCAUGCCUGACAGCUUGACUUUAAACAUGAAGAAUACAGAGUCACAGAAUAAUUAUUCAGGCUGGAAGGAGGUUAUAGUCCAAUCUCCUGCUCAGAACAGGGUUAACACUGGAUUGAAACCAGGCAAAAGAUGUUUAAACCAAAAUGCACUUUCCCUCUCAGAGCAUUUGAAUCGGGUAUAUAGUUAAUGUGCCCCCA
Strigops habroptila (Kakapo) is the source of this 2300-nucleotide long non-coding RNA. The record is from Ensembl. NCBI's taxonomy places the organism in Eukaryota, Metazoa, Chordata, Aves, Psittaciformes, Psittacidae.